AUGAAUAAUAUAAUCAAUUAUACAAAUUCAGGAGCUAAUCAGAGAACAGUAGACAGUUGGAAAAUAAUUAAUGGCACGGACCCGGUGAUGCCAACGCUAACCCACCUGACAACGCAAACACAGCAGGAUCAAACUCAGCCUCGACAGGGACAUCCAAUAGUCAUUCGGGAUAUUACGGAUAUAAUAUCAUCUUCUUCAACUGCAGUAUCAAAAAAAGGGCGAAAAAUGUAUCAGUGGUUCAGAAAGAAGAGGAGGACAUACAGAGAAGCUAGGUGGUUCUGUGAGGCCAGGGAGAGGCACCUGGUGGAGUUAAGCCAAGCUAAACUGCAGAAACAGCUGAGAAAAGAGGAGAUGGACCGGCAACGGAGACAGGCAGAGGAAAAGGAGUAUGAGAGGAUGAAGGCUAAACAGCAGGAGAACGUCAGAGAGUGUUAG
Molecule: long non-coding RNA, 435 nt
Filed under: Oncorhynchus kisutch (coho salmon)
Lineage: Eukaryota; Metazoa; Chordata; Actinopteri; Salmoniformes; Salmonidae
Description: lncRNA (ENSOKIG00005027866.1)
Source: RNAcentral